UUUAUAAGUUUCCUUCCACAUGUUUAGGGAACUCAUGAUCGUAUCAUUCUCUCCCUCUUCAAGAGGAUUUGUCCUCAAAUCCAAACCUGCAUAAAUAACUAAAGGAUUAGUAACAAAAAUUCUCUCUUUUGGAUAUUCCCUUUCUUUUUGCAAGUUGAAUUUUUUUUCUUCAAUCUUCUCAAAGUUGUCAUCUUUUUCAACCUUCUCGUUU
Molecule: long non-coding RNA, 211 nt
Filed under: Trifolium pratense (red clover)
Lineage: Eukaryota; Viridiplantae; Streptophyta; Magnoliopsida; Fabales; Fabaceae
Description: long non-coding RNA (TPRA_LNC011881)
Source: RNAcentral